UUAUCUUAGGCUAAUUAAGUGCCAGCAGCUGCGGUUAUACUUGUUAAGAAAUCGAAAUGAAUGUUUUGCAAUAGAAGAAAAAAAAUUUUUUCGCAGUUGUGAGUUUAAAUAUUUUUUUAUCUUCAUAGAAUGCGAAAAUUUUUAAUAAACCGGGGUUAGACGCCUGUUAUAAAAAUUAUAAAUAAAAUAAAGUAUUAGUAAAUUAAUUUUUAAACUUAAAAAAGUUGGCAGCAUCUUAGUCCAAACAAAGGAGCUUGGGGUUUAAUUAGAUACUCCUCUUUUUACCUUAUUUAAUUUUUUUUUGUGUGUGGCUGUAUAAACGAGUCUUUUGAGAUGAUUUUUAAUUCAGGUGACAUGCAAAUAUAAUUAAAUACCACCUUAGCUACUGUAAUUAAAUUAGUUUUAAUUUAAAGAUAUAAUAGGAUUUGUUUGUAAAGUCAUUUUAUUAAAGUGUCUUGAAUGGGUUAUAAGUUGUGUUCAUAUUGUCCGUCACUCUCUUUUGUGAGAUAAGUCGUAGCAAAGUAAGGGUUUUAGAAAAAGCUCUUA
This 546-nucleotide ribosomal RNA is filed under the name Lovenula raynerae. RNAcentral describes it as "12S ribosomal RNA". The record is from RNAcentral. Lineage: Eukaryota; Metazoa; Arthropoda; Copepoda; Calanoida; Diaptomidae.